GCGGGUGUAGCUCAAUGGUAGAGCCCCAGCCUUCCAAGCUGGUGGUGAGGGUUCGAUCCCCUUCACCCGCUCCA
RNAcentral lists this transfer RNA (74 nucleotides) under Acidimicrobiia bacterium. RNAcentral's name for it is "tRNA-Gly". It matches the Rfam family "tRNA". From Rfam's summary of the family: Transfer RNA (tRNA) molecules are approximately 80 nucleotides in length. Their secondary structure includes four short double-helical elements and three loops (D, anti-codon, and T loops). The record is from RNAcentral. RNAcentral also lists the same sequence under 1 other name. Lineage: Bacteria; Bacillati; Actinomycetota; Acidimicrobiia.